UGUCCCUGACACUAUCACUGAU
This 22-nucleotide non-coding RNA is filed under the name Arabidopsis thaliana (thale cress). The record is from RNAcentral. Lineage: Eukaryota; Viridiplantae; Streptophyta; Magnoliopsida; Brassicales; Brassicaceae.